This is a non-coding RNA of Potamilus streckersoni, 77 nucleotides long. The record is from the annotation of a GenBank genome assembly. Lineage: Eukaryota; Metazoa; Mollusca; Bivalvia; Unionida; Unionidae.
GACCCCUCUGGUGGCCUAGUGGUUAGAGCAUCUACCUCAAAUGCAGGAGGUCAUGGGUUUGAUCACUGACUGAGUCA